AGUAAAGUAAGCUAAACAAGCUCUUGGGCCCAUACCCCAAAUAUGUCGGUGAAACUCCCUCCUUUGCAA
RNAcentral lists this transfer RNA (69 nucleotides) under Hypoplectrus unicolor (butter hamlet). RNAcentral's name for it is "tRNA-Met". RNAcentral also lists the same sequence under 17 other names. The record is from RNAcentral. Lineage: Eukaryota; Metazoa; Chordata; Actinopteri; Perciformes; Serranidae.